AUUGAACGCUGGCGGCAUGCUUUACACAUGCAAGUCGAACGGUAACAGGGUGCUUGCACCGCUGACGAGUGGCGAACGGGUGAGUAAUGCGCCGGAACGUGCCGAGUAGUGGGGGAUAACGCAGCGAAAGUUGUGCUAAUACCGCAUACGUACUGAGGUAGAAAGUGGGGGACCUUCGGGCCUCACGCUAUUCGAGCGGCCGACGUCUGAUUAGCUAGUAGGUGAGGUAAAGGCUCACCUAGGCGACGAUCAGUAGCGGGUCUGAGAGGAUGAUCCGCCACACUGGGACUGGGAAACGGCCAAGACUCCUACGGGGGGCAGCAGUGGGGAAUUUUGGACAAUGGGCGAAAGCCUGAUCCAGCCAUGCCGCGUGUCUGAAGAAGGCCGUCGGGUUGUAAAGGACUUUUGUCAGGGAGGAAAUCCCUAGUGCUAAUAACACUGGGGGAUGACAGUACCUGAAGAAUAAGCACCGGCUAACUACGUGCCAGCCGCCGCGGUAA
RNAcentral lists this ribosomal RNA (500 nucleotides) under uncultured bacterium. RNAcentral describes it as "partial 16S ribosomal RNA". It matches the Rfam family "Bacterial small subunit ribosomal RNA", at positions 30 to 523 of the family's 1533-position model. The record is from RNAcentral.